RNAcentral lists this transfer RNA (77 nucleotides) under Alphaproteobacteria bacterium. RNAcentral's name for it is "tRNA-Arg". It matches the Rfam family "tRNA". Rfam says of the family: Transfer RNA (tRNA) molecules are approximately 80 nucleotides in length. Lineage: Bacteria; Pseudomonadati; Pseudomonadota; Alphaproteobacteria. RNAcentral also lists the same sequence under 2 other names. The record is from RNAcentral.
GCGCCCGUAGCUCAACUGGAUAGAGCACCUGACUACGGAUCAGGAGGCUAGGAGUUCGAAUCUCUUCGGGCGCACCA